RNAcentral lists this ribosomal RNA (524 nucleotides) under uncultured bacterium. RNAcentral describes it as "partial 16S ribosomal RNA". It matches the Rfam family "Bacterial small subunit ribosomal RNA", at positions 28 to 523 of the family's 1533-position model. The record is from RNAcentral.
GACGAACGCUGGCGGCGUGCCUAAUACAUGCAAGUCGAGCGCAGGAAACUGACGGAACUCUUCGGAGGGAAGGCAGUGGAAUGAGCGGCGGACGGGUGAGUAACACGUAAGGAACCUGCCUCAAGGAUUGGGAUAACUCCGAGAAAUCGGAGCUAAUACCGGAUAGUUCAUCGGACCGCAUGGUCCGUUGAUGAAAGGCGCUCCGGCGUCACCUUGAGAUGGCCUUGCGGUGCAUUAGCUAGUUGGUGGGGUAACGGCCCACCAAGGCGACGAUGGAUAGCCGACCUGAACGGGUGAUCGGCCACACUGGGACUGAGACACGGCCCAGACUCCUACGUGAGGCAGCAGUAGGGAAUCUUCCACAAUGGACGAAAGUCUGAUGGAGCAACGCCGCGUGAGUGAUGAAGGUUUUCGGAUCGUAAAACUCUGUUGUAAGGGAAGAACACGUACGAGAGGGAAUGCUCGUACCUUGACGGUACCUUACGAGAAAGCCACGGCUAACUACGUGCCAGCCGCCGCCGUAA